Molecule: ribosomal RNA, 253 nt
Filed under: uncultured bacterium
Lineage: Bacteria
Description: partial 16S ribosomal RNA
Rfam family: Bacterial small subunit ribosomal RNA
Source: RNAcentral
UACGAAGGGGGCUAGCGUUGUUCGGAUUUACUGGGCGUAAAGCGCACGUAGGCGGAUCGAUCAGUCAGGGGUGAAGUCCCAGAGCUCAACUCUGGAACUGCCUUUGAUACUGUCGAUCUGGAGUAUGGAAGAGGUGAGUGGAAUUCCGAGUGUAGAGGUGAAAUUCGUAGAUAUUCGGAGGAACACCAGUGGCGAAGGCGGCUCACUGGUCCAUUACUGACGCUGAGGUGCGAAAGCGUGGGGAGCAAACAGG